RNAcentral lists this transfer RNA (73 nucleotides) under Ignavibacteriaceae bacterium. RNAcentral describes it as "tRNA-Thr". It matches the Rfam family "tRNA". From Rfam's summary of the family: Transfer RNA (tRNA) molecules are approximately 80 nucleotides in length. Their secondary structure includes four short double-helical elements and three loops (D, anti-codon, and T loops). Further hydrogen bonds mediate the characteristic L-shaped molecular structure. tRNAs have two regions of fundamental functional importance: the anti-codon, which is responsible for specific mRNA codon recognition, and the 3' end, to which the tRNAs corresponding amino acid is attached (by aminoacyl-tRNA synthetases). tRNAs cope with the degeneracy of the genetic code in two manners: having more than one tRNA (with a specific anti-codon) for a particular amino acid; and 'wobble' base-pairing, i.e. permitting non-standard base-pairing at the 3rd anti-codon position. Lineage: Bacteria; Pseudomonadati; Ignavibacteriota; Ignavibacteria; Ignavibacteriales; Ignavibacteriaceae. The record is from RNAcentral.
GCUGGGAUAGCUCAGUUGGUAGAGCAGCUGACUUGUAAUCAGCAGGUCGAGAGUUCAAGUCUCUUUCCCAGCU